This 471-nucleotide long non-coding RNA is filed under the name Oncorhynchus kisutch (coho salmon). Its description in RNAcentral is "lncRNA (ENSOKIG00005031569.1)". The record is from RNAcentral. Lineage: Eukaryota; Metazoa; Chordata; Actinopteri; Salmoniformes; Salmonidae.
AUGCCUGCUGUUUCAGGGUUGACAGAACACUGUGAACCUCCGGUAAAACUCAACAUCUCCUGGUGCCUAAGGAGCUCCCACUGCUUCGACGAGGUAUUCGGUCUCCACCCUCUGAAGGCAGGGAGCUACUUCAGAACGACAACUGUGAAGCAGGAAGGAUGCAGUGGGUUCCAUGUGUUUUAUCAGUACCCUGCCAUUGAGUGCAAACGGCACAUGACCCACAGUGAGCCUGUCACUGUCAAGGACAAAGAGAUGAGGAAAAGGAGCGCUGAGAAUCCAAAGGAGACAGUUGCUGUCAAAGCAGAGGCAGCUGUGGCCACAGGCAAAGCCCCAGCCCCCGCUGCAAAGAAACAAGUGGUGAGUGUUUCCUUGUCACCUAAGAGCCAUGCCAGAAUGAAGACACAGUUGAAGUCAGAAGUUUGCAUACACCUUAGCCAAAAACAUUUAAACUCAAUUUUUCACAAUUCCUGA